AGGACGAACGCUGGCGGCGUGCUUAACACAUGCAAGUCGCACGGCCCGCAAGGGCAGUGGCGGACGGGUGCGUAACACGUGAGGAAUGUACCCUUCGGUGGGGGAUAGCCGGCCCAACGGCCGGGUAAUACCGCAUACGCAGCUCGGGUGGCAUCACCUGGGUUGGAAAGCAGCAAUGCACCGAUGGAGCACCUCGCGGCCUAUCAGCUUGUUGGUGAGGUAAUGGCUCACCAAGGCGACGACGGGUAGCUGGUCUGAGAGGAUGAUCAGCCACAUUGGGACUGAGACACGGCCCAGACUCCUACGGGAGGCAGCAGUGGGGAAUAUUGCGCAAUGGGCGAAAGCCUGACGCAGCGACGCCGCGUGCGGGAUGAAGGCCUUCGGGUUGUAAACCGCUGUCGGGAGGGACGAAAUCAAUGACGGUACCUCCAAAGGAAGCACCGGCUAACUCUGUGCCAGCAGCCGCGGUAAUACAGAGGGUGCAAGCGUUGUCCGGAAUUACUGGGCGUAAAGGGCGCGUAGGCGGUUCGGUAAGUAGGGGGUGAAAUGCUGCGGCUCAACCGCAGCCCUGCCUUCUAAACUGCCAGACUUGAGCGUAACAGAGGCAGGUGGAAUUCCCGGUGUAGCGGUGGAAUGCGUAGAGAUCGGGAAGAACAUCGGUGGCGAAGGCGGCCUGCUGGGUUACUGCUGACGCUGAGGCGCGAUAGCGUGGGGAGCAAACAGGAUUAGAUACCCUGGUAGUCCACGCCGUAAACGAUGGGUACUAGGCGCUGGGGGGAGCGACCCCCUCGGUGCCGUCGCUAACGCAAUAAGUACCCC
This 819-nucleotide ribosomal RNA is filed under the name uncultured bacterium. Its description in RNAcentral is "bacterial SSU rRNA". It matches the Rfam family "Bacterial small subunit ribosomal RNA", at positions 26 to 870 of the family's 1533-position model. The record is from RNAcentral.